Lemur catta (Ring-tailed lemur) is the source of this 1353-nucleotide long non-coding RNA. RefSeq lists it as uncharacterized. The record is from RefSeq and is a predicted model, not a curated record. The transcript has 2 exons. Lineage: Eukaryota; Metazoa; Chordata; Mammalia; Primates; Lemuridae.
CAAAACAGGCUGUGUUUUGAUUUGGCCUGUGGACCCUAAUUUGCCAACAAUAUGAUCAAAGACCGAGCAGAGAGUUCUCUGAUGCUCGCUGAUGAUGGGGUGAGGAAGUGAACUCAUCCUACCCGGGAGGACACUGAGGCUCAGCGAGGCAAAGUAAUUCACCCAGGAGCACACAGCUCCCACCUGGCAGAGAUGAGAUCGGAAUUCCUCGCCCCCAAAGCAGGUAUUUGGUCACGGCAGGUACAGACAGCAACAUGUCCCAGUGAAGCUGAAGAACAUGGAAAACAGGCUGCCCCUGGCGGCAGGAGCCCCACCCACCCACCUCAGGAAGAAGGGUUACCCGGGGUGCACAGAGGAAUGGAGAAUAGAGCACCCUUUCUGCUCAGGUCUCUCUUUAAAAUACCGGUUUGUACUGCAUCAAGCAAGCGCCUUUCUUCUGUCUUGCCCUGGUAACUUGUGCAUUCUGUUUCCCAUCUCAGCAACGCUGGAGAGCUGACUCCUAGUUCCUGCCUUCUCCCACUUCCCUUCUUCCCAGCUUGCUCCAGCCCUCAUGUUUUUACUCCUAGGGACGAAGCUCCUAUAUGGACCCUACAUAAACUUUAAUUAAAAGAAGCUUCCCAAAUGAGCAAUAUUGUGGCAAGAAAAAAACAUUUAGAACAGAAUUGCUCAGACUUUUGGGUGUCUCUAGCCACCGAUGGUGGGCAAGAAACACAGACCAAAAUAACUCGUUGCCACCCCCGGAGGACACUCGUAAAAUCUAACACCUCAAGCCAGAGAAGCCAUGGAAACACCAGGCAUGAUACAUCCAUACCUGUGGCACAAAUGUCAGAACAGCUACCUGUAUAUUUAAAACUAAUCACCAUGACUACCACAACACAGUUUCCAGUGCUAUCACAAUCCUAUUUCUCACCGCAAAGUAGGGUAGAUGGAGUCACAGGCUGAUUUCCAUGGGCCUUUGAACCUCCAAUUCUUGUAUGUUUCUUUAAGUUUCAUUUUAAGUCUGGUCUUUGCACAGACAGGGGGAAGAAAUCACAGAUAAUUAAAGCAUAAAAUAUUCUCAUUUCAUGGUGGGGCUAACAAGUGAAACUACAAGUAAUGAUGUAAUCCAACUUGUCAAAAAGGAAAAUGAAAAGAGGAGACAGAAGGCAGGACAGAGCCUUGGGACCUGGUGUGCCAUGUCAUCUUCUAAUUAACUAACUGAUCCUUUAAACUGUCAAACUCGGCGAGGAACUCCAUGGCCUGGCAUCUGAUUAAUAUUCAUAUUUGGGCACUGGAUGCUCUGAUUUAGGUCCCAGCGGCUGUAGUUAAACAUCAGUCUUUAAAAAGGAGAGAAAUAAAAACCUGCCUGGUGAA